AUGGACCAGGAGGUGCAGCCGGACUUGGUGUGUGCUGCGACCAUGGAGGACAAGGAGAAGGAGGCGAUGAUCCAUCACUGUAGGAUGGGACAUGUAUCUUUUGAUAAGAUGAGUAGAAUCUUUCCGGAUGUUAUGUGUGGGAUAGGCAAGGGCAAGUUGACAUGUGAUGCUUGCGAAUAUGCCAAACACACACGAGCCUCAUAUGUGAGUAAGGGGCUUAGGAGCAUAUCUCCUUUUAUGCUUAUUCAUUCGGAUGUAUGGAAGAGCCCAGUUGUAUCAAUGAAUGGAAUGCAAUACUUUGUGACAUUCAUCGAUUGCUAUUCUCCUAUGACCUGGAUUUAUUUGAUGCGUCACAAAGAUGAGGUGUUUAGCUGUUUUCAGAAUUUCCAUGCCUUGGUGAAGAAUCAGUUUCAGGUGCAGGUGCAGGUGAUCAGGACUGACAAUGGGACAGAGUAUGUGAACAACACAUUUGGGGCCUACUUGUCUGAUCAAGGUAUUCUUCAUCAAACUUUGUGCCCAGACACCCCUCCUCAAAAUGGAGUGGCGGAAAGGAAAAAUCGGCAUAUUCUUGAGGUUGCUCGGUCAUUGAUGUUUACGAUGAAUGUGCCCAAAUUCUUGUGGAGUGAAGCAGUGAUGACAGCCACAUACCUGAUCAACCGGACACCAUCAAGAAUACUAAGCAUGAAGUCUCCGUGUGAGCUAGUAUAUGGAGAAACUAAGUUUGUUGUUCCCCCAAAAUUGUUUGGUAGUACCUGUUUUGUUCGUGAUCACCGUCCUUCUGUUGGAAAACUUGAUCCGCGAGCAGUGAAGUGUAUUUUUCUGGGCUAUUCUUCUAGUCAGCAGGGAUAUAAAUGUUGGUGUCCCUCAGAGAAACGCAGGUUUGUCAGUAUGGAUGUAACCUUCAGGGAGUCUGAGCCAUUCUAUGGUGAGCCAACAGAUCUAAGUGUGUUGUUUCAAGAGCUUGACCAUUUACACUCUGUGCAGGAUGGUCAAGAGGGGGAGAAGGCCGUGUCUCACACUCAGGAGGAUUCUAUGGGCACUAACAUUGAUGAUGAUGUGCAGGUUCAAGUCCAGCCAAUUGUGGGUACAAUUCCGGUUGGUACUCUCACUGAUGGUGAUGUGCAGGUUCAGGUCCAGCCAACAGUGGGUUCCAUUCAGAUUGGUAAUCUCCAGCUCCCUGUUCCAGAUCGGUGGUAG
Molecule: ribosomal RNA, 1197 nt
Filed under: Triticum aestivum (bread wheat)
Lineage: Eukaryota; Viridiplantae; Streptophyta; Magnoliopsida; Poales; Poaceae
Description: partial small subunit ribosomal RNA
Source: RNAcentral